UGGGAGGCAGCAGUGGGGAAUUUUGGACAAUGGGCGCAAGCCUGAUCCAGCAAUGCCGCGUGCAGGAAGAAGGCCUUCGGGUUGUAAACUGCUUUUGUCAGGGAAGAAAUCUUCUGGGUUAAUACCUCGGGAGGAUGACGGUACCUGAAGAAUAAGCACCGGCUAACUACGUGCCAGCAGCCGCGGUAA
This 189-nucleotide ribosomal RNA is filed under the name uncultured bacterium. RNAcentral's name for it is "partial 16S ribosomal RNA". It matches the Rfam family "Bacterial small subunit ribosomal RNA", at positions 342 to 523 of the family's 1533-position model. The record is from RNAcentral.